Molecule: long non-coding RNA, 1310 nt
Filed under: Sus scrofa (pig)
Lineage: Eukaryota; Metazoa; Chordata; Mammalia; Artiodactyla; Suidae
Description: lncRNA (ENSSSCG00015039614.1)
Source: RNAcentral
GUCGUCCCCAGGAUGCCCGCCCUGCCAGUGCCAGAACAUGACUCCCGGCCUCCAGUUUUGUACCCAAACCUGGCGGAAUUGGAAAAUUAUAUGGGUCUUUCCCUCUCCAGCCAAGAAGUCCAGCAGAACCUGCCUCAGAUUCCAGAAGGGGCCAGGGUAGGUAUCUGUCUCUUGGUAUCCCUCCUUCUUGGUCUUGCCAUUUAAACAGACUUGAAACAAUCCUUCCCCAGCAUUGCUGUGCCUCUGUUUCUUGAUGGCACUUUUCUUUUCUUUCUUUUCUUUUUUUUUUGUCUUUCUGCUAUUUCUUGGGCUGCUCCCACGGCAUAUGGAGGUUCUCAGGCUAGGGGUCGAAUCGGAGCUGUAGCCCCCGGCCUACGCCAGAGACACAGCAAUGUGGGAUCCGAGCCGUGUCUGCAACCUACACCACAGCUCACGGCAACGCCGGAUCGUCAACCCACUGAGCAAGGCCAGGGACUGAACCCGCAACCUCAUGGUUCCUAGUCGGAUUCGUUAACCACUGCGCCACGACGGGAACUCCAAAGCUGGAUUCUUAACCCACUGAGGGAGGCCAGGGAUCGAACCCGCAUCCUCACAGAGACCACAUCAGUUCCUGAACCUGAUGAGCCGGGACGGGAACUUCUAGGUAUUUUUAAAUUUGAAUUGUAUGACUCGGUCCAUCAACAAAUCUUCACUGAGCACUACUGUAUUCUCAGGGCCUAGCACAGUGCCAGGCAAAGAGCAAUUUUUCAAAAAUGAUUCAUGAACGGUCAAGGGCCCAAGGGCCCCUGCUGCCGGCUGGACACGGAAAAGUGAAGCAGGCAGGCCUGGGGCUGUCCUCCCAGGGCCUCGCAGACAAAGGACGUUCACGACUUGGGCCUGAGCUGGUGGUGAGAUCUGUUCUCCUCUCACAGGGGGAAAGAACAGGCCAAGGAUACCAGUCUUAACCCUUAUGAGUCAGAGAGGAACCGGCAGUGGAGCCUUAGUCACCUUCCCCCGAAGGCCCCGGGCCUGUCACCCUGCUGCUGCAGGCCUGGCACUUGCCUCCACUGGUCAGUGUGCAGCCAUCAUUUCCUCAGCCUAAGAUGGAGAGAAACCCACCAGGAUUUUAAAAAGUGACAAGAUCGCUGUUUUACGGAACAAGCCUGGAAGACACCAUCGUCCUUUUAACAUACAAUCUUUCAGAGUUCCUGUCGUGGCUCAGCAGAAACAGAACAAAGGGUGGGGGGGUAUGUAAUUGUAAUGUAUACACGUAAGGAUAACUUGAUCCCCUUGCUGUACAGUGGGAAAAUAAAAAAUAAAAAUAGGAAUCA